GACGAACGCUGGCGGCGUGCUUAACACAUGCAAGUCGAACGAUGAAGAAAAGAAUCGAAGCUUCGGCAGAAAUUCAUUUCGGAUUAGUGGCAGACGGGUGAGUAACGCGUGAGCAACCUACCUCUUACAAAGGGAUAGCCUCGGGAAACCGGGAUUAAUACCAUAUAACAUUGCGACGAAGCAUUUCGAUGCAAUCAAAGCUACGGCGGUAAGAGAUGGGCUCGCGUCCCAUUAACCGGAUGGUGAGGUAACGGCUCACCAUAGUGACGAUGGGUAACCGGCCUGAGAGGGUGAACGGUCACACUGGAACUGAGACACGGUCCAGACUCCUACGGGAGGAAGCAGUGGGGAAUAUUGCACAAUGGAGGGAACUCUGAUGCAGCGACGCCGCGUGAGUGAUGAAGGAAUUCGUUUCGUAAAACUCUGUUCUAUGGGAAGAAAAGGACUGUACCAUAGGAGAAAGCUCCGGCUAAAUACGUG
Molecule: ribosomal RNA, 480 nt
Filed under: uncultured bacterium
Lineage: Bacteria
Description: partial 16S ribosomal RNA
Rfam family: Bacterial small subunit ribosomal RNA
Source: RNAcentral